CCCUCCGCCCCCCUAACUCGCGGAGCACACUGGGAUUUGGCGCCCCCCUCCUCUGUUCAGCCUAUAUAAGGCUCCCAGUCGGCGCUCCCGGUACACGCGCUUCAACUUCGGUUGGUGUGUGUCGAAGAAACCUGACUACGACCUGGGGAGAAGAGCGAAGAGGGUCCACCGAGCCUCGCGAAAGGUCCGCUGAGCGGGCUCGCGUCCGGAGCCACUCCGGGCUGCGGAGCACCCAGCGGAACCCACGCGUGGCACAGGUGUGGGACCCCGUCCUCCUGUCUUCGCAGAGGAGUCCUCGCGUGUUGUCACUUGAUCUUCAGGCUGCAGAGGGCCUAGAAGUAGGUCAUCGUCUGCAGCCCCGGCAUGAGCACACGGACAUUCGCUAUCACUGCAAGCAGAAGUCUGGAGAUGUUGGCCAACGACAGCAGCGGUCAGGGAAAGCAUGGUGGUAUGGGUCAGCAACGCAUGGAUGAAGACCCUGACGCACAUUUGGCUGUUUAGUAAAGCUUGUGAAAAACUGGUUGCAGUGUGUUCUAUGCUUUAUUGCUAUAUAUACUAUCUAUAAAUGUAGGUGUUAAGGAUAAGUAAUUUCCAAUUUAUUCUGUAGUAUCAGAAUUUAAUAAGUUUCCUUUCACUGAGUUUAUUUUGUUACUGUUGAUUAUGUGUAUUGGAUACUUUAAGUUUUUUGGGGCAUUUUUCCCACAAAAUGCCUUUAUUCAUAAGAAAGGAAAGAGCAAAGAAAUUAAAUCUCUAAGGGAGUUAGAAAGGGAGCAAAAUAAAGCAUAAAGGACAUACAACAAAACAUCAGAAUUAUUAAAGCCAAUAGUCAACCUUUUUUUGAAACAAAUUGGCAAAUUUGAUAACUUUUGACCCAAAUUGUCGGUGUUAAUUAAAUCAAGGAAGAAGAAGAUAGGAGCUCCCAUUGUUAGGCAAACCUGGAGAGAACUAGUGAAGGUCAUCGUGCUAAGAUCUUGAAAUGGAGGAAGUUUACAUACAUUUCUGAAGGGUCAAUUUAGUUUGAGCAAUGAGGUAUUUGCACUCGAUGCUGGAAAAUGGCGAAUUAGUUUGAUUCAAUCAGGUGAGGUGACAUAAGGAACUUGCAGGUGCAUAAAAUAAAGAGGGGCACAUCUAUAUAGUGCAGUCUGGAUUUGUGUUUAAGUUUGCAAGUACCUCUUGGGCUCCUGAAUUGAUCUGCUUGUCAUCUACCACAGACGUCGAAUGUCAGAUACAGUUCCAAGAUUGGCAACAGAGAACACUCUGCUGGAAAGACCUGGGCAGAAAUGAAGGACCACCUGCCGAGACGAAGAGCUGGGUGGGAACCAUGCUGCAUUUUCAUCGGAAGAAUGAACAUCCAGUGGGACUGAAAGUUCUUUGUUGUUUCAGAUUAUAGAAUGUGAUUGAUGGAAUUGGUCUGUGGAAGUUGCAUUGUUUUUUAUUUCUUUAUGUUAUCAGUUUAAGUAAUAGGGGAUAUACAUAAUCAUAAGUAUUUUAGGGUGGGAGGGACUAUUAAGUAAUCUUAAGUGGGUGGGGUUAGUUUAAAAGUUAGCAUGAUAUUAUGUAUUAGAUAACUCUAUAAGUGGACAUGUGUACUUACUUGUGAUCCUUUACCCUAUGAUUGCUACCCUUAAAGAUUUCAAAUAAACUCAGAGGGAACUGCAGGGAGAUCAGCCUAUUUAGGGCAAAUUGGACAUGGAUAAAACUCUAGUGGGAAAAAGUUCAAAGGUGAUUGGAUAAAUAAUUUAACUUUGCCCUGGGUAUUAACUCCAGGGAUCCAGAUUGUGAGCAAAGCCUUUGGAGAGUUAUAAGAUGAGUAGAUACUCUUUGAGAAAUUCUUGCUGGAAUGAAAUUGAUAAUUAAGGAUGGUAAAUAUUCAUGGAAGUUACAGAAAAGUGAUGAAGAAGAAGCCUGUCAGUGGCCCUCCUACCUACCCCUGCCUUUUCUCCCUACCCCUACCACCUCCCUACCCUUCCCCAUUUUAUUGCUGUAUUUCUACUUACUAAUAUUGUAUUGAUGUUAUAAUAAAAAUUCAAUUAAUAAAGAUUUAGUGGUUAA
Mirounga angustirostris (Northern elephant seal) is the source of this 2052-nucleotide long non-coding RNA. RefSeq lists it as uncharacterized. The record is from RefSeq and is a predicted model, not a curated record. The transcript has 2 exons. Lineage: Eukaryota; Metazoa; Chordata; Mammalia; Carnivora; Phocidae.